RNAcentral lists this ribosomal RNA (439 nucleotides) under uncultured bacterium. RNAcentral's name for it is "partial 16S ribosomal RNA". It matches the Rfam family "Bacterial small subunit ribosomal RNA", at positions 339 to 795 of the family's 1533-position model. The record is from RNAcentral.
CUACGGGAGGCAGCAGUGAGGAAUAUUGCACAAUGGAGGAAACUCUGAUGCAGCAACGCCGCGUGGAGGAUGACGCAUUUCGGUGUGUAAACUCCUUUUAUGAGUCAAGAAAAUGACGGUAGCUCAUGAAUAAGCACCAGCUAACUCCGUGCCAGCAGCCGCGGUAAUACGGAGGGUGCAAGCGUUACUCGGAAUCACUGGGCGUAAAGGACGCGUAGGCGGGAUAUCAAGUCAGGUGUGAAAUCCUACAGCUUAACUGUAGAACUGCACUUGAAACUGGUAACCUAGAGUAUGGGAGGGGGAGAUGGAAUUAGUGGUGUAGGGGUAAAAUCCGUAGAUAUCACUAGGAAUACCUAAAGCGAAGGCGAUCUCCUGGAACAUAACUGACGCUAAGGCGUGAAAGCGUGGGGAGCAAACAGGAUUAGAUACCCCUGUAGUC